GUUGCCUCGGCAGAGGUUACCUGGUACCUGGAGACAGGUUACCCUGUAGCAGCUGCCGGUGGACUACUAAACUCUUGUUAUUUUAUGUAAUCUGAGCGUCUUAUUUUAAUAAGUCAAAACUUUCAACAACGGAUCUCUUGGUUCUGGCAUCGAUGAAGAACGCAGCGAAAUGCGAUAAGUAAUGUGAAUUGCAGAAUUCAGUGAAUCAUCGAAUCUUUGAACGCACAUUGCGCCCAUUAGUAUUCUAGUGGGCAUGCCUGUUCGAGCGUCAUUUCAACCCUUAAGCCUAGCUUAGUGUUGGGAAUUUACAGUUAUGUAAUUCCUGAAAUACAACGGCGGAUCUGUGGUAUCCUCUGAGCGUAGUAAAUUAUUUCUCGCUUUUGUCAGGUGCUGCAGCUCCCAGCCGCUAAACCCCCAAUUUUUUGUGGUUGACCUCGGAUCAGGUAGGAAUACCCGCUGAACUUAAGCAUAUCAA
Molecule: ribosomal RNA, 475 nt
Filed under: Pseudopestalotiopsis theae
Lineage: Eukaryota; Fungi; Ascomycota; Sordariomycetes; Amphisphaeriales; Sporocadaceae
Description: eukaryotic LSU rRNA
Rfam family: 5.8S ribosomal RNA (bases 118-271)
Source: RNAcentral